Molecule: long non-coding RNA, 266 nt
Filed under: Fukomys damarensis (Damara mole-rat)
Lineage: Eukaryota; Metazoa; Chordata; Mammalia; Rodentia; Bathyergidae
Description: lncRNA (ENSFDAG00000029163.1)
Source: RNAcentral
GUUCAGGUAGGGAAGGAGGAAGGUGCUUUUCCAGAGGAAGAUCAGGGAGCCGUGCAGAGGCCAGCAGGAGGGGAAACAUCAGGCAUCGAGCAGGUGGCCCAGCUGGCAGAAUUACAGGUUUUUUAAAGCUGGGAAAGUUCUAAAGAUCACCCUGGGUAGACUGACCAGCAAGCGAAUGACCCCAAGAGCUUGACUACCCAAGGUCAUGCUGCUCCACAGAGCUGAGAGCCAAGGAAGGCUACCCAGAAAUGGUCCUGGGAGAAGUU